This 500-nucleotide ribosomal RNA is filed under the name uncultured bacterium. Its description in RNAcentral is "partial 16S ribosomal RNA". It matches the Rfam family "Bacterial small subunit ribosomal RNA", at positions 30 to 523 of the family's 1533-position model. The record is from RNAcentral.
AUUGAACGCUGGCGGCAUGCCUUACACAUGCAAGUCGAACGGCAGCACGGGAGCAAUCUUGGUGGCGAGUGGCGAACGGGUGAGUAAAGUAUCGGAACGUGCCCAGUCGUGGGGGAUAACUUAGCGAAAGUUACGCUAAUACCGUAUACGAUCUAUGAAUGAAAGCGGGGGAUCGCAAGACCUCGCGCGAUUGGAGCCGCCGAUAUCUGAUUAGGUAGUUGGUGGGGUAAAGGCUCACCAAGCCGACGAUCUGUAGCUGGUCUGAGAGGACGACCAGCAAAACUGGGACUGAAACACGGCCCAGACUCCUACGGGAGGCAGCAGUGGGGAAUUUUGGACAAUGGUCGAAAGCCUGAUCCAGCCAUGCCGCGUGCAGGAUGAAGGCCUUCGGGUUGUAAACUGCUUUUGUACGGAACGAAAAGGUUUGGCCUAAUAAGCUGAGCUCAUGACGGUACCGUAAGAAUAAGCACCGGCUAACUACGUGCCAGCCGCCGCCGUAA